Long non-coding RNA from Antechinus flavipes (yellow-footed antechinus), 526 nucleotides. RefSeq lists it as uncharacterized. The record is from RefSeq and is a predicted model, not a curated record. NCBI's taxonomy places the organism in Eukaryota, Metazoa, Chordata, Mammalia, Dasyuromorphia, Dasyuridae. The transcript is spliced from 3 exons.
CCUGGGAUAAGGGCAUGAAUCAAAGAGAAGUUUUUGUGAGAAGUCCCAAAGAUUGGAUUAGGUCCAUGUAACUCCAGAGCUUCAAUUCUGAGUCCCAGUCAAAUAAUUAUCUAUCCACCAAAAAAAAAAAAAAAAAAAAAAAGAAGAAGAAAGAAAAAAAAAUCAGCAACAUCAAUCAAUACAUUAAAAAAAUAUGACAAUAGAUGUGAUAUUCCACAUUCAUGGUCUUUUCGAUUCUGAAAAGGUUUUUAAGAAGACAAUAUAUCCCCAAGUAAAUGGUCAGAUGUCAAAGCAAGUUAGUAUACCUUUACAUACCAAAUUGUGACAAAUAAGAAAGAAAAUUUUAUACCAUAGAAGUUACGUGAGAAAAGAGAUGACUGGAAUGGAGUGCAUAGAAAAAACAUCAUGGAGAAGGAGGAACAUGAGCUGCAUGAUAAAGGCUGGGUUUGAGAAAUAGAGAUAGCGCAUUUGGGGAGGAUUUUGGACACUAGUAGAUUAGAGGAAAAGCUUGAACAAAGGCAUAGAA